AUAACGACUCUCGACAACGGAUAUCUCGGCUCUCGCAUCGAUGAAGAACGUAGCAGAAUGCGAUACUUGGUGUGAAUUGCAGAAUCCCGUGAACCAUCGAGUUUUUGAACGCAAGUUGCGCCUAAAGCCAUUAGGUUGAGGGCACGUCUGCCUGGGCGUCUCGC
Molecule: ribosomal RNA, 164 nt
Filed under: Impatiens parviflora
Lineage: Eukaryota; Viridiplantae; Streptophyta; Magnoliopsida; Ericales; Balsaminaceae
Description: 5.8S ribosomal RNA
Rfam family: 5.8S ribosomal RNA
About the family: 5.8S ribosomal RNA (5.8S rRNA) is a component of the large subunit of the eukaryotic ribosome. It is transcribed by RNA polymerase I as part of the 45S precursor that also contains 18S and 28S rRNA.
Source: RNAcentral